Molecule: ribosomal RNA, 468 nt
Filed under: uncultured bacterium
Lineage: Bacteria
Description: partial 16S ribosomal RNA
Rfam family: Bacterial small subunit ribosomal RNA
Source: RNAcentral
GACGAACGCUGGCGGCGUGCUUAACACAUGCAAGUCGAACGGAAAGGCCCUGCUUUUGUGGGGUGCUCGAGUGGCGAACGGGUGAGUAACACGUGAGUAACCUGCCCUUGACUUUGGGAUAACUUAGGGAAACUGGGGCAAAUACCGGAUAGGAGCUCCUGCUGCAUGGGGGGGGUUGGAAAGUUUCGGCGGUGGGGGAUGGACUCGCGGCUUAUCAGCUUGUUGGUGGGGUAGUGGCUUACCAAGGCUUUGACGGGUAGCCGGCCUGAGAGGGUGACCGGCCACAUUGGGACUGAGAUACGGCCCAGACUCCUACGGGAGGCAGCAGUGGGGAAUAUUGCACAAUGGGCGGAAGCCUGAUGCAGCAACGCCGCGUGCGGGAUGACGGCCUUCGGGUUGUAAACCGCUUUCGCCUGUGACGAAGCGUGAGUGACGGUAAUGGGUAAAGAAGCACCGGCUAACUACGUG